UUGGAGCCGUCGGUUUU
This 17-nucleotide microRNA is filed under the name Macrophomina phaseolina MS6. RNAcentral describes it as "miR-4443". Lineage: Eukaryota; Fungi; Ascomycota; Dothideomycetes; Botryosphaeriales; Botryosphaeriaceae. The record is from RNAcentral.